UCACCCUGUAAACCUCCAUGCCAACACACCUACCAUUAUGUAAACAACCUCUUCUCCAUCUCUAACAAUCAUUAAACUUGCAGCUUAACAUAUCAGCUUAAACACCUCAUGUUUCGGCUGAAACAAUCUCUACACCAUUAACUUCCUCUUCUUCCUAACCCACACUUCCGCCAUCCUUCCUCCCUUGGCUCCUUAACCGCAAUGUUUUCCUCUGCUUCACCCACUAUGAAAAAG
RNAcentral lists this long non-coding RNA (234 nucleotides) under Lathyrus oleraceus (garden pea). Its description in RNAcentral is "Pisum sativum (pea) long non-coding RNA (PSAT_LNC024668)". The record is from RNAcentral. Lineage: Eukaryota; Viridiplantae; Streptophyta; Magnoliopsida; Fabales; Fabaceae.